This 301-nucleotide ribosomal RNA is filed under the name uncultured bacterium. RNAcentral describes it as "bacterial SSU rRNA". It matches the Rfam family "Bacterial small subunit ribosomal RNA", at positions 334 to 651 of the family's 1533-position model. The record is from RNAcentral.
UGGGCCUACGGGGCGCAGCAGUGGGGAAUAUUGCACAAUGGGGGAAACCCUGAUGCAGCAACGCCGCGUGAGUGAAGAAGGUUUUCGGAUUGUAAAGCUCUGUUAGCAGGGAAGAGGAAGGACGGUACCUGCAGAGGAAGCCACGGCUAACUACGUGCCAGCAGCCGCGGUAAUACGUAGGGGGCAAGCGUUAUCCGGAUUUACUGGGUGUAAAGGGAGCGUAGACGGCGAUGCAAGUCUGAAGUGAAAGGCGGGGGCCCAACCCCCGGACUGCUUUGGAAACUGUAUGGCUGGAGUGCAG